Long non-coding RNA from Saccostrea cuccullata (small rock oyster), 449 nucleotides. RefSeq lists it as uncharacterized. The record is from RefSeq and is a predicted model, not a curated record. The transcript has 3 exons. Lineage: Eukaryota; Metazoa; Mollusca; Bivalvia; Ostreida; Ostreidae.
CUAAAAAAGAUGGAUUUCAACCCGAAUUUCCUCGUUUGGGAUCGAUUCAGGAAUUUUAGUGUUCCUCUCUUCAACAUUUAUAGAUUGCAUGCAGUGGACUGUGCCCGAGACGAUUCCCACAGGCGAAUAGUCAGCUUGUAUAAAUGAAAUUGUGCCAGAAAAGUAAGUGUCUACGGGAACGAUCAACAUCGAACUUUCUGAGCCUUCAUACUUAAACUAAAGUGAAUUCAUUUGUGAAUUUCAUGGGAUAUCAGUGAGGAAGUGAUUCAAGCAGACACUUGAGAAAUUUCGGAUCUAAAUCAUAAAUUAGGAUCUUUGGCAUAUUCGGGGAAAAUAGCGUGACUGUGUUGAUUUUAUGGGAUCUUUUUAUUAAUAUAGUUGUAGUGGAUAUUUUGUCUUAAUACAUGUGUUUGUCACUCUAGUCUAGUCAUUAACUUUGUACGGUAAAU